Molecule: ribosomal RNA, 686 nt
Filed under: uncultured Flavobacteriales bacterium
Lineage: Bacteria; Pseudomonadati; Bacteroidota; Flavobacteriia; Flavobacteriales
Description: bacterial SSU rRNA
Rfam family: Bacterial small subunit ribosomal RNA
Source: RNAcentral
AGAGUUCUUCGGAAUUUGAGACCGGCGCACGGGUGCGUAACGCGUAUGCAAUCUGCCUUCCACAGAGGGAUAGCCCAGAGAAAUUUGGAUUAAUACCUCAUAGCAUUACAGGAUGGCAUCAUCCGGUAAUUAAAGUCACAACGGUGGAAGAUGAGCAUGCGUCCCAUUAGCUAGUUGGUAAGGUAACGGCUUACCAAGGCGACGAUGGGUAGGGGUCCUGAGAGGGAGAUCCCCCACACUGGUACUGAGACACGGACCAGACUCCUACGGGAGGCAGCAGUGAGGAAUAUUGGUCAAUGGGCGCAAGCCUGAACCAGCCAUGCCGCGUGCAGGAUGACGGUCCUAUGGAUUGUAAACUGCUUUUGUACGGGAAGAAACACUGAUUCGUGAAUCAGCCUGACGGUACCGUAAGAAUAAGGAUCGGCUAACUCCGUGCCAGCAGCCGCGGUAAUACGGAGGAUCCAAGCGUUAUCCGGAAUCAUUGGGUUUAAAGGGUCUGUAGGCGGUCUUGUAAGUCAGUGGUGAAAGCCCAUCGCUCAACGGUGGAACGGCCAUUGAUACUGCAGGACUUGAAUUACCGGGAAGUAACUAGAAUAUGUAGUGUAGCGGUGAAAUGCUUAGAUAUUACAUGGAAUACCAAUUGCGAAGGCAGGUUACUACCGGUGGAUUGACGCUGAUGGACGAAA